RNAcentral lists this ribosomal RNA (246 nucleotides) under uncultured soil bacterium. Its description in RNAcentral is "partial 16S ribosomal RNA". It matches the Rfam family "Bacterial small subunit ribosomal RNA", at positions 26 to 285 of the family's 1533-position model. The record is from RNAcentral.
AGAAUCAACGCUGGCGGCGCGCUUAACACAUGCAAGUCGCACGAGAAAGCUGGAGCAAUCUGGUGAGUAAAGUGGCGCACGGGUGAGUAACACGUGGGUAAUCUACCUUCUUGUGGGGAAUAACCCUGGGAAACCGGGGCUAAUACCGCAUAAGCCCGAAAGGGGAAAGCAGCAAUGCGCAGGAAGAGGAGCCCGCGGCCGAUUAGCUAGUUGGUAGGGUAAAGCCUACCAAGGCAUUGAUCGGUA